AACGAACGCUGGCGGCAUGCCUAACACAUGCAAGUCGAACGAGACCUUCGGGUCUAGUGGCGCACGGGUGCGUAACGCGUGGGAACCUGCCCUUAGGUUCGGAAUAACUCCCCGAAAGGGGUGCUAAUACCGGAUAAUGUCUUCGGACCAAAGAUUUAUCGCCUUUGGAUGGGCCCGCGUUGGAUUAGCUAGUUGGUAGGGUAAAAGCCUACCAAGGCGACGAUCCAUAGCUGGUCUGAGAGGAUGAUCAGCCACACUGGGACUGAGACACGGCCCAGACUGCUACGGGAGGCAGCGGGGGGAAAUUGUGGACGAUGGGAGAAUGCCUGAUCCAGCAAGCCCGGGAGAGUGAUGAAGGCCGUAGGAUUGUAAAGCUCUUUUACCCGGGAUGCUAAUGACGGUACCGGACGAGGAAGAUCCGGCUAACUCCG
This 431-nucleotide ribosomal RNA is filed under the name uncultured bacterium. Its description in RNAcentral is "partial 16S ribosomal RNA". It matches the Rfam family "Bacterial small subunit ribosomal RNA", at positions 29 to 505 of the family's 1533-position model. The record is from RNAcentral.